Molecule: long non-coding RNA, 2331 nt
Organism: Equus quagga
Lineage: Eukaryota; Metazoa; Chordata; Mammalia; Perissodactyla; Equidae
Exons: 2
Source: RefSeq, a predicted model, not a curated record
GAUUUCUCGCAGCCGGAGCCCUUCUCCAAUAAGAUGCGUAUUGCCCAGGUUUUAAAACCAUCAGCCGUGUUCCUUUGCCACAGUACAUCUGCAACAGUCAGCUUCCCCAGUGCCUCCAUCCGCCUGCUGUGUCUGCCUCCGACCUCAUUUAAGAUAAUGUGAAAGGCAAUUCUGUGUAUCACUCCACACAGAGAGUUAAAUGUUUUGGCUUAGCAUGUUUGUAACUUCAGAUAUAUUGCAUUUUAUUUUAUUUUAUAGGUACAAAUUCCAUUAAUUUGAUAAAAAACAAUUGCAUAGGUGUUUAGGAUCAUAUUCAUUCGAAGCAGAGUCUAUUACACAGGUUCAGGAUUUUCAUCCUGAAAUACCAGGCCUUUUAUGGCAACUAUGUGAACAAAAGUGGAAAAUCUUUACCAUGCUGAGUCCAAAAGACAAGAUGAGUCAUUUUAGCUUAUAAGUUGAUCACGAAUAUUAUAAUGGCUGGUAUUAGCUUUAACAUGAAAACAAUAUUGUUGUUUUAAUCUUCCUUUAAGGUUUGGAAGACAGCCCUAAUCUCAGGUUGGUGGACUCGUAGCUGUAGCUGUGACUUCAGGCUAAAUGUAGAUGAUGAUUUAAGAGAAUACAGUUUGUUGGCUUGCUUCUCUUUUCCUACUUUGAGAGUGCCCUGUAUGACUUAGUUGAGUACUAUCUGUUGAAGCCACUGACUUGAGAGAAUUUUCUUGCUUCAUAAAUGUGGAGCAGUGAUGUGGCUAGAAGCCAGCUUUGAGAUAAAUGCUAAUUACCUUGUGUUUAUCUUCUGGGAAGGUCUCAUACUGUUUUAAUGUUUUAAUAAAAGCCACUGGGACAUGCCCUUUAUCCAUUCCACCUAGUAGUUCACGACUUCAGACCUCCUAUGAACUCCAUCUGACUAGAAUACCUAAACUCAAGCCCUAGAACUGGGGCACCAUUUAUUGAUUUAAAUUGAGUGUAUAUCCCUUAGUUUCUUCAGCCUAAAGUACUGUUGAAAGUUCAAGAUAAUAAUGGAAUAUGGCUUUCUCAAGAUAAUGGUCUUUCUGCUUUUUUUUCACUUUAAAGCCGACCUUAAACAGAUGCCUUACGAGUGCCUUCUUUCGCCGUGUGCCUUUUAGAGACAAGCUCUGAAUUGGCCAGAGCUCAGUUUGCAUAAGCUCAGUACAAAAACCAGCGUGUGAGGCUUUUAAGGUGAAAAAAAUCCCAACUUCUCUAAAGCAUCUUGUCCCUUGUGCUGGGAGGGAGAGACGACGGACAGACCACCUCAGUCCCUGCCCCUUGGGUCUAAUGGUCAUCAGCUCAUUCUGAAAGGUGCGAUUCAUUCUCCUCCCUCUGUGCAUUUCUGUGGGCAUCACUUGGAGGCAACGCAGUGUGCUCUAAGGAGAACUCCGUGUCCAGUUUGGUCCUCACCUUGCUUUGUGGUCUUGAGCACGUUACUUCACCUCUCUGAACCUUAGUUUCGUUGUAGAGUAAGAAGGCUGGAUGAGAUUAUGGUUUUCUCAACCCUCCAAGACUCAGUGUCCCCUUUUAUAAAAAAUAUUUUUUUCUGGUUAUUCUGAAAGGAAAUUCAAAGUUAACAUGAUCUGCAUUGUGUAUAUACUUUUAAACAAUGAAUAUAGUACUCUGCCUGUAAUAUAAAGCAGAAAAAAAAGAAAGCAGUUUUUAAUAAAAUAAAAUGUAUUUCAGUAAAAAGCUUGGGUGUAACCAUCCUAGAAGAUAAAAUCAAGUUAUCAGAUGCUUGCACCUGUGUGUGGAACACCCUAUCUGCUACAAAUGCAGAUCAUUACAUUGGCAACAUCGCUAACAGUGUUGUCAUUGGAUAUGAUUUUCUGAAAUGGUGGACAACUCCUGGUAGUUUUGAACAAAAAUCUUACAGUUGUGUCUUGAUUAUCACAGUAAAUGCAUUCCUAGAAAAAUCAGUGUACACUCAAACCAUGUAACAAUUCCUUUGUGUUAUAUGUUAAACGUCUUUUCUAAAAUCUCACUAAGUAAUGAGAAUGCCUAAAUAUCAGAAUUUUUGUUGUAUGUAUGAAUGUAUGCCCUGAUUUGGAAAAAGGUCACAUGUAGCUCAGUUUAUUUGAUUUCUACCCUGUCUGGCCAAUUGCCAUUUCUCAAGUUUCUGAUUUGAACUUCAACCACACAGGGAAUGGUGAAUAGUCUAGAAUAAUUUUUGGAAAGGAUUCACAAAACAAAGGAGAGUGACCUAUACUCAUUUAUCUGGGCAUAUACCUUAACCUUAGUAACUUUGAAAAAUGAAAACUUUUGUACCUAAGUGUCAAUUUCUGUAUUAUCGGUUUAACAUCUACAAGUAAAAUCAAGAAAAAG